This 490-nucleotide ribosomal RNA is filed under the name uncultured bacterium. RNAcentral describes it as "partial 16S ribosomal RNA". It matches the Rfam family "Bacterial small subunit ribosomal RNA", at positions 30 to 507 of the family's 1533-position model. The record is from RNAcentral.
AUUGAACGCUGGCGGCAGGCCUAACACAUGCAAGUCGAACGGUAACAGAAAGCAGCUUGCUGCUUUGCUGACGAGUGGCGGACGGGUGAGUAAUGUCUGGGAAACUGCCUGAUGGAGGGGGAUAACUACUGGAAACGGUAGCUAAUACCGCAUAACGUCGCAAGACCAAAGAGGGGGACCUUCGGGCCUCUUGCCAUCGGAUGUGCCCAGAUGGGAUUAGCUAGUAGGUGGGGUAAAGGCUCACCUAGGCGACGAUCCCUAGCUGGUCUGAGAGGAUGACCAGACACACUGGAACUGAGACACGGUCCAGACUCCUACGGGAGGCAGCAGUGGGGAAUAUUGCACAAUGGGCGCAAGCCUGAUGCAGCCAUGCCGCGUGUAUGAAGAAGGCCUUCGGGUUGUAAAGUACUUUCAGCGGGGAGGAAGGGAGUAAAGUUAAUACCUUGGCUCAUUGACGUUACCCGCAGAAGAAGCACCGGCUAACUCCGUG